This 380-nucleotide ribosomal RNA is filed under the name Brevundimonas sp. Its description in RNAcentral is "bacterial SSU rRNA". The record is from RNAcentral. Lineage: Bacteria; Pseudomonadati; Pseudomonadota; Alphaproteobacteria; Caulobacterales; Caulobacteraceae.
GUGGCGGACGGGUGAGUAACACGUGGGAACGUGCCUUUUGGUUCGGAAUAGCUYCCUGGAAACGGGUGGUAAUGCCGAAUGUGCCCUUUGGGGGAAAGAUUUAUCGCCAUUAGAGCGGCCCGCGUCUGAUUAGCUAGUUGGUGAGGUAAAGGCUCACCAAGGCGACGAUCAGUAGCUGGUCUGAGAGGAUGACCAGCCACAUUGGGACUGAGACACGGCCCAAACUCCUACGGGAGGCAGCAGUGGGGAAUCUUGCGCAAUGGGCGAAAGCCUGACGCAGCCAUGCCGCGUGAAUGAUGAAGGUCUUAGGAUUGUAAAAUUCUUUCACCGGGGACGAUAAUGACGGUACCCGGAGAAGAAGCCCCGGCUAACUUCGUGCC